This 468-nucleotide ribosomal RNA is filed under the name uncultured bacterium. RNAcentral's name for it is "partial 16S ribosomal RNA". It matches the Rfam family "Bacterial small subunit ribosomal RNA", at positions 28 to 507 of the family's 1533-position model. The record is from RNAcentral.
GACGAACGCUGGCGGCGUGCUUAACACAUGCAAGUCGAACGGAAAGGCCCUGCUUUUGUGGGGUGCUCGAGUGGCGAACGGGUGAGUAACCCGUGAGUAACCUGCCCUUGACUUUGGGAUAACUUCAGGAAACUGGGGCUAAUACCGGAUAGGAGCUCCUGCUGCAUGGUGGGGGUUGGAAAGUUUCGGCGGUUGGGGAUGGACUCGCGGCUUAUCAGCUUGUUGGUGGGGUAGUGGCUUACCAAGGCUUUGACGGGUAGCCGGCCUGAGAGGGUGACCGGCCACAUUGGGACUGAGAUACGGCCCAGACUCCUACGGGAGGCAGCAGUGGGGAAUAUUGCACAAUGGGCGGAAGCCUGAUGCAGCAACGCCGCGUGCGGGAUGGCGGCCUUCGGGUUGUAAACCGCUUUCGCCUGUGACGAAGCGUGAGUGACGGUAAUGGGUAAAGAAGCACCGGCUAACUACGUG